UACGUAGGGUGCAAGCGUUGUCCGGAAUUAUUGGGCGUAAAGAGCUCGUAGGCGGUUUGUCGCGUCUGCUGUGAAAACGCGAGGCUCAACCUCGCGCCUGCAGUGGGUACGGGCAGACUAGAGUGCGGUAGGGGAGACUGGAAUUCCUGGUGUAGCGGUGGAAUGCGCAGAUAUCAGGAGGAACACCGGUGGCGAAGGCGGGUCUCUGGGCAGUAACUGACGCUGAGGAGCGAAAGCGUGGGGAGCGAACAGG
This 253-nucleotide ribosomal RNA is filed under the name uncultured bacterium. Its description in RNAcentral is "partial 16S ribosomal RNA". It matches the Rfam family "Bacterial small subunit ribosomal RNA", at positions 524 to 776 of the family's 1533-position model. The record is from RNAcentral.